Molecule: ribosomal RNA, 151 nt
Filed under: uncultured bacterium
Lineage: Bacteria
Description: partial 16S ribosomal RNA
Rfam family: Bacterial small subunit ribosomal RNA
Source: RNAcentral
GAGGAAUAUUGGUCAAUGGGCGCUAGCCUGAACCAGCCAAGUAGCGUGAAGGAUGAAGGCUCUAUGGGUCGUAAACUUCUUUUAUAUAAGAGUAAAGUGCAGUAUGUAUACUGUUUUGUAUGUAUUAUAUGAAUAAGGAUCGGCUAACUCC